CACACACACACACACACACACACACACAGAGAGAAAGAGCAGCAGGCACCUUUAUAGCGAAGACAUGAAUAACGUUUGAAGAAAGUUCAGGAACGGUUACGCUCCCUCUCUUCAGCGCAGGCGACAAACACGAUUGUAGGAGAAAUAAAGGAGGGUGCAAUCAUAAAGACGAAUCUGAUGAGGAGAAGCGCUGAAUCUGAGGAGGGAAAGUGUUCUGUCGGAGGAGGCGCGGGAAGCGCGCGCGCUCCUGUGACAGGUGAGUCUGCAGGUGCACAGGUAAGAACGCUGAUUUGAGGCUUUUUAAAAAACUAAAGGCAGUCGAUGUAGCGUAAUGGGGUUUUAGUGCAUUUUAUGUUAUUUUUUUUUCAUAAUACUCGGUCCAAAAUGAAAGAACUGAAAAUAACUGCUUUUUCGAUUAGAUUUCUGAGGGAUUCCGACACAUUGAAGGGCGUGAACGAGCUCUCUCUCGGCAUUCUUUCACCGUUAUUGUUAUUUGUCUUCUGCUGUGUUUUACGCUUUAGUGCUGAAGUCUUCAGAGGGCGACAGCGCUUUAUGUGAACAGACUUUCUGUUCUUUCAGUAUUUGUAAGGAUAAUGAAGACAUCAGUCCACGCGCAUCUGCACUGAUUGAUGCUUUUGUUCAGCAUCAGACUCCUGCGAUCUGUAACCAUUCAGGGUGUGCUCUUGGUUUGUCCGUGACAGUCUGAAUCAUCCGGAGCUGCUUGGAUCCCUGUAGGGAGGUGUAAGACAAGAAAAGACUCAUGUGCGGGAGAAGCCGCGUUGAGGUCAGAGGUCGGCAGAUUUCAUCAUCCCCGACACGCACACCUGUGGAACUUCAGGUUGGUUACUGAUGAACAAUAUCCUCGACACACUCUCAUCAUGUCAGCAGAUCAGCGGGCAGAUGUAUCGGUGCAUUCGGCCGGCUCAGGUUUUCAUCAGGAUCUGGUGUUUGUAAACCUGCCUUUUUGUAAAGAAGAUGCGCAACUGAGAAGACGCCGAGAACGACUGUUUGUUUUCCUGCAGCACAUUUGUACCUGUACCUUGAUUUACCGCACACACACACACACACACACACACACACACACACACACACACACACACACACACACACACACCUGGCAUUACAUCAGAGGCAGCGGGAUCCCAGGACGCACUGAAGACACCGCGGCUACCUGAUAUCAGUGUUAUUUAUUGGCUGUGGAGGAGAGUGACAGAUGAGCGAAGCUGGAGACAUGAAGAGAAGCAGAUAAGCAGCUCAUGAUGGAGAGACUAAAGCCCUGACUCGAGCAGAGAGUUCAACAGGAAGAGCUUGAGUAACUCUGACCGCUCGCAAUCGACACACCUGUGAGAGAACUAACCACAACCCAACCAGCAGUUACACAGGACACGCUUACAUAACCUGUGUGUUUCCAUGCAUGUCUGCAUGUCACUAAUAAAAAAGAAUGAAAAAGCAGCACCAUGAUAUUCUGUGAAGUGCCAUGUUAUAUUGAAAGUACUUGAAUAAGUGAUGCAUAAGAUCAAUAAAUAGUGUAAGAAAUCUACUGCAUAGUUAUUAUCAGUCACUGAGAAAAUCUUUGAAAAUCUUUCAGAUGACACACAGUAACUCCCAAAUAUUACAAAGUUCAUGUUCACAAAGAGGUGAUGUGUGGAAGCUUAUUUUCAGCACAGGAUAAAAAUAAUAAUAAUUGCAACUGAGUUGUAUCUCACAAUUCUGGAUUUUUUCUCGCAAUUCUGUGAAAAAAAAAAAAAGAACUCAGAAUUAUGAGAUAAAAGUUCGUAAGAAAAUAGCAGAACUGCAAGAUGCAAAGUCAGAAUUAUAAGAUAUAAACUCGCAAUUACAAUCUUAAAACAUUUAAUUGCAAGACACAAAUUUGCAAUUGUGAGAAGAGAAGUCAGAUUUGUUAGAUUUAAAGAAAAAUCACAAUUACCGGUUUAUUAUGUGCUGGGAAAAUAACUGAAUUGCAAUGUAAAGAUAGAAUUCUGAGCAAAAAUAUAGUAAAAAUUGCAACACUAAAACUCAUAAUUAAGUACUUUUAAUUUGCAAUUGCAAGAUACAAACUCAAAUGUGACGGGAAAAAAUAUUGUGAGAUUAAAAAGUUGCAUUGCCCUUUUUAUUUAUUUUGUUUAUUAAAACAAAAACACACAAUUGUGAGAUGUAAAUUCUGAAUUCUGAGAAAAAAAGUCAGAAAUGCAAGAUGUAAACUCGCAAUUACCCUUUUUAUUUUUAUUCUUUACCGGAAGAUACAAACUCACAAAGUCACAAUUACCUUUUUUCACAUUUUUAUUUGGUGGCAGAAAUAAUCUUCCACAGGGCAGAGAGACCUCAUCAGGGCGGAGAUUACACAAGCUCCAGUCAUUAGUGCGCCGUAUCAGCAAACUCUAUUGAAUCAGAAUAAUUUAAGCUGCGAUACACGACCCGGGGCCUGCAGGCAGGUUGGGGGCACAGACCUCGUCACAGCAUUAAUUGGUAUCAGAUCACCAUCGUUAGCAGCGUCGUUCUCGGCCAGGCUGAGCUCAGACUCUCUCUGUGUUAAUUAACCUCAAACCCGAGGCCUGUCCGCCGGUGCUUGACCCCCACUGACCGCAGACCCAGAUCGUCUCCGCCGCAGGAACAUGCUUAAAAAUAAGGUGCUUCACAGCGAUGCCACAGAAGAACCAUUCAGUCAAAGGUUCUUUAAAGAACCAUCUCUUUCUGGCCAAUUUUUAUAAUCUGAGGAAACUUCUUUCAUCACAAAGAACCUUUUUAAGGUUUUAAAGGUUCUUUAAGAAACCAUUUAGACAAAAAGGUUCUUCCAUGGCAUCGUGAAGCACCUUUACUUUUAAGAGUGAACUCGAGGUCGACGCUUCACUUAAAACGGAGAACGCAGAGGUAAGACGGCAAACCUGAAGCUCCCUCAGGUGUCUGAACUUCGGUGGCUCUCCGAGAAGAGAAACGUCCGUAUCCACCGCUCUGUUUCUCGGCAUGAAUAAACCAAAGGCAUCUGAUGGCACGCAGUUACCUGCUCUCGCAGGAGCGCUCGCUCUCACCCCACCAAUAACCUUUAAUAUUUCAUAUCUGGCUGUGAUCUGCGAGGAGAGCUUCUCUCAGGCAGCGCUUUCUCAAAGCAGAGGGAGAGACACGGAGACAGGAUUAUUUUUGUACCUGUUCAAACACGCCGCAUUAAAUUAUUCAGCGUGUUGGUCUGCUUUUACCUCGCCGCUGAAAAUGCACCUUCAACCUCUGACAAAAAGGAGACACGGUGAGGAAAGGAAUCUGGCCUCGGGGAAGAGAAAACACCGAGCGAACGAGGAGAAAACAAGCGCGGCACUAACCUGCGCAGGCCACCGAGCUGCCAGCAUCUAUAAUUCAUGAGCUAUGCUCUCACAAAAUGGAUCAUGAUACACUUGUACAAGCAUCCCGGGCAGACAUAACCUGAUAUGACAAGGCUCUGACCCUCUUCUUCGUAAAGUCUGGUAUUUUUAGCGGGGAUUAAAAAAUGCACAAGUUUUCCUGAUGUCGGCCAGAUUUGGCCUCACCUGCUCUGAGCCGCACUUAAAAGGUUAAAAGGUCAGCGGAUUGAUGCAUCAGUUUAGAUUUUGUUUUUAAAAGUAAGAAUACAGAGGUAAAAUGCAAUAUAAUAAUUCAGUAAUCAAUGUCCAUAUGUUCACAAGGCAUUUAUCAUCUUAAAGAAAUAUUAUAGUAUUUACUAUAAAUUACUAUAGUAUUUCUUCAUGUGGGAUUGUACUGAAUGAUGAUAACUGUAAAUUUUCAAGUCCAUUUUUUCCCCCAAGCUGUAAAUAAAGAUAUGUUGGAGUAUGUUUUACAAGAAACACUAUUUCAGUCUUUCUCAUUUAUUUAAAAAUGAAUGUGUAUUUAGUAAUAAUGCAUGCACUUAUUUUCUGUGGUGAUCGACAGCAUAUCUCAGAUGCUGUACACUGUAUCUGUACUGAAUCCAGAAGGUUUGUCUAAGACUGAUGUGAUUUGUCCCUCUCUUGGGACAAAAGCGGCGCUGAUGGCUGUAGUGGAGGCCCUUCAUUUGGCUGUAAUCAGGAGAGAGUGUGCGGAGAUGAAAGAUCAUCAGGGAGAACACACAUUUACAAAUGAACACCAUUACUUUCUUCACAUUC
Long non-coding RNA from Cyprinus carpio (common carp), 4106 nucleotides. RefSeq lists it as uncharacterized. The transcript is spliced from 5 exons. Lineage: Eukaryota; Metazoa; Chordata; Actinopteri; Cypriniformes; Cyprinidae. The record is from RefSeq and is a predicted model, not a curated record.